This 907-nucleotide ribosomal RNA is filed under the name uncultured Deferribacteres bacterium. RNAcentral describes it as "bacterial SSU rRNA". It matches the Rfam family "Bacterial small subunit ribosomal RNA", at positions 28 to 916 of the family's 1533-position model. Lineage: Bacteria; Pseudomonadati; Deferribacterota; Deferribacteres. The record is from RNAcentral.
GACGAACGCUGGCGGCGUGCUUAACACAUGCAAGUCAAGGGGAAAGUCUCGCUUGCGAGAUGAGUAUACUGGCGGACGGGUGAGUAACGCGUAGGCAACCUGCCCUUGUGAUAGGGAUAACCUCGGGAAACUGGGGCUAAUACCUAAUAACAUUUACGAGUUGCAUGACUUGUAAAUCAAAGGUGUCGCAAGUUAUCGCACAGGGAUGGGCCUGCGUUCCAUUAGCACUAGUUGGUAAGGUAACGGCUUACCAAAGCGACGAUGGAUAGCUGAUCUGAGAGGGUGAUCAGCCACACUGGGACUGAGAUACGGCCCAGACUCCUACGGGAGGCAGCAGUGAGGAAUAUUGCGCAAUGGACGAAAGUCUGACGCAGCAACGCCGCGUGGGGGAUGAAGCACUAUGGUGUGUAAACCUCUGUAGACAGGGAAGAACAGUUGUAGUUCGCAAGGGCUAUGAUAUGACGGUACCUGUAAAGUAAGCUCCGGCUAACUCCGUGCCAGCAGCCGCGGUAAUACGGGGGGAGCAAGCGUUGUCCGGAAUUACUGGGCGUAAAGGGCGUGUAGGUGGAAUUGUAAGUCAGAUGUGAAAGGCUGCGGCUUAACCGUAGAAAUGCAUUUGAAACUGCGAUUCUUGAGUUCGAGAGAGGGUAGUGGAAUUCCCAGUGUAGCGGUGAAAUGCGUAGAUAUUGGGAAGAACACCAGUAGCGAAGGCGGCUACCUGGCUCGAUACUGACACUAAUGCGCGAAAGCGUGGGGAUCAAACAGGAUUAGAUACCCUGGUAGUCCACGCUGUAAACGAUGGGCACUAGGUGUUGGUUCCGCUUGCGGAAUCGGCGCCGCAGCAAACGCAUUAAGUGCCCCGCCUGGGGAGUACGAUCGCGAGGUUGAAACUCAAAGGAAUUGACGG